Zingiber officinale is the source of this 106-nucleotide small nucleolar RNA. The record is from RefSeq and is a predicted model, not a curated record. Lineage: Eukaryota; Viridiplantae; Streptophyta; Magnoliopsida; Zingiberales; Zingiberaceae.
AAAUCAUGAUAAGGACACUAUCUUAAUAAACUUUUGAAUCUAUCUCAUACUUCAAAUAAUGAUUCUCUAUCUGUUUGAGCAAAAUUUGUGAUGCAAUUCCUCAUGU